CAAAGGCUUAGUCCUGACUUUAUUAUCAGCUCUAGCUAUACUUACACAUGCAAGUAUCCGCACCCCUGUGAAAAUGCCCCACAGUUCCCUGUUUGGGAACGAGGAGCCGGUAUCAGGCACAACAAAAAUAGCCCACGACGCCUUGCUAAGCCACACCCCCAAGGGAAUUCAGCAGUGAUAGACAUUAAGCCAUGAGUGAAAACUUGACUUAGUUAAAGCUAAGAGGGCCGGUAAAACUCGUGCCAGCCACCGCGGUUAGACGAGAGGCUCAAGUUGAUAAACAAUCGGCGUAAAGAGUGGUUAUGGAAACUACGAAACUAAAGCCAAAUGCCCCCAAGGCUGUUAUACGCACCCGGAGGCCAGAAGCCCAACCACGAAAGUGGCUUUAUGUUACCUGAAUCCACGAAAGCUAUGGAACAAACUGGGAUUAGAUACCCCACUAUGCCUAGCCCUAAACAAUGAUAAUGGACCACAAUCGUUAUCCGCCAGGGUACUACGAGCAACAGCUUAAAACCCAAAGGACUUGGCGGUGCUUUAGAUCCACCUAGAGGAGCCUGUUCUAGAACCGAUAAUCCCCGUUAAACCUCACCCCUCCUUGUUUUUCCCGCCUAUAUACCGCCGUCGUCAGCUUACCCUGUGAGGGACCAAUAGUAAGCGCAAUUGGCACAGCCCAAAACGCCAGGUCGAGGUGUAGCGUAUGGAGGGGGAAGAAAUGGGCUACAUUCAGUGCAUCACUGAACACGAAAGGUGGGCUGAAACGCCCACCCGAAGGAGGAUUUAGCAGUAAGUAGGAAAUAGAGUGUCCUACUGAAACCGGCCCUGAAGCGCGUACACACCGCCCGUCACUCUCCCCGAAACCUACUUAAAAGGUACCUAACACCUAAUCAUCCAUUAAGGGGAGGCAAGUCGUAACAUGGUAAGUGUACCGGAAGGUGCACUUGGAAAAAAAU
This 950-nucleotide non-coding RNA is filed under the name Bodianus reticulatus (Asian sheepshead wrasse). RNAcentral's name for it is "12S ribosomal RNA". It matches the Rfam family "Bacterial small subunit ribosomal RNA". The record is from RNAcentral. Lineage: Eukaryota; Metazoa; Chordata; Actinopteri; Labriformes; Labridae.